This 2659-nucleotide ribosomal RNA is filed under the name Staphylococcus aureus. Its description in RNAcentral is "partial 23S ribosomal RNA". It matches the Rfam family "Bacterial large subunit ribosomal RNA". The record is from RNAcentral. Lineage: Bacteria; Bacillati; Bacillota; Bacilli; Caryophanales; Staphylococcaceae.
GAUAUGCUUUGGGGAGCUGUAAGUAAGCUUUGAUCCAGAGAUUUCCGAAUGGGGAAACCCAGCAUGAGUUAUGUCAUGUUAUCGAUAUGUGAAUACAUAGCAUAUCAGAAGGCACACCCGGAGAACUGAAACAUCUUAGUACCCGGAGGAAGAGAAAGAAAAUUCGAUUCCCUUAGUAGCGGCGAGCGAAAUGGGAAGAGCCCAAACCAACAAGCUUGCUUGUUGGGGUUGUAGGACACUCUAUACGGAGUUACAAAGGACGACAUUAGACGAAUCAUCUGGAAAGAUGAAUCAAAGAAGGUAAUAAUCCUGUAGUCGAAAAUGUUGUCUCUCUUGAGUGGAUCCUGAGUACGACGGAGCACGUGAAAUUCCGUCGGAAUCUGGGAGGACCAUCUCCUAAGGCUAAAUACUCUCUAGUGACCGAUAGUGAACCAGUACCGUGAGGGAAAGGUGAAAAGCACCCCGGAAGGGGAGUGAAAUAGAACCUGAAACCGUGUGCUUACAAGUAGUCAGAGCCCGUUAAUGGGUGAUGGCGUGCCUUUUGUAGAAUGAACCGGCGAGUUACGAUUUGAUGCAAGGUUAAGCAGUAAAUGUGGAGCCGUAGCGAAAGCGAGUCUGAAUAGGGCGUUUAGUAUUUGGUCGUAGACCCGAAACCAGGUGAUCUACCCUUGGUCAGGUUGAAGUUCAGGUAACACUGAAUGGAGGACCGAACCGACUUACGUUGAAAAGUGAGCGGAUGAACUGAGGGUAGCGGAGAAAUUCCAAUCGAACCUGGAGAUAGCUGGUUCUCUCCGAAAUAGCUUUAGGGCUAGCCUCAAGUGAUGAUUAUUGGAGGUAGAGCACUGUUUGGACGAGGGGCCCCUCUCGGGUUACCGAAUUCAGACAAACUCCGAAUGCCAAUUAAUUUAACUUGGGAGUCAGAACAUGGGUGAUAAGGUCCGUGUUCGAAAGGGAAACAGCCCAGACCACCAGCUAAGGUCCCAAAAUAUAUGUUAAGUGGAAAAGGAUGUGGCGUUGCCCAGACAACUAGGAUGUUGGCUUAGAAGCAGCCAUCAUUUAAAGAGUGCGUAAUAGCUCACUAGUCGAGUGACACUGCGCCGAAAAUGUACCGGGGCUAAACAUAUUACCGAAGCUGUGGAUUGUCCUUUGGACAAUGGUAGGAGAGCGUUCUAAGGGCGUUGAAGCAUGAUCGUAAGGACAUGUGGAGCGCUUAGAAGUGAGAAUGCCGGUGUGAGUAGCGAAAGACGGGUGAGAAUCCCGUCCACCGAUUGACUAAGGUUUCCAGAGGAAGGCUCGUCCGCUCUGGGUUAGUCGGGUCCUAAGCUGAGGCCGACAGGCGUAGGCGAUGGAUAACAGGUUGAUAUUCCUGUACCACCUAUAAUCGUUUUAAUCGAUGGGGGGACGCAGUAGGAUAGGCGAAGCGUGCGAUUGGAUUGCACGUCUAAGCAGUAAGGCUGAGUAUUAGGCAAAUCCGGUACUCGUUAAGGCUGAGCUGUGAUGGGGAGAAGACAUUGUGUCUUCGAGUCGUUGAUUUCACACUGCCGAGAAAAGCCUCUAGAUAGAAAAUAGGUGCCCGUACCGCAAACCGACACAGGUAGUCAAGAUGAGAAUUCUAAGGUGAGCGAGCGAACUCUCGUUAAGGAACUCGGCAAAAUGACCCCGUAACUUCGGGAGAAGGGGUGCUCUUUAGGGUUAACGCCCAGAAGAGCCGCAGUGAAUAGGCCCAAGCGACUGUUUAUCAAAAACACAGGUCUCUGCUAAACCGUAAGGUGAUGUAUAGGGGCUGACGCCUGCCCGGUGCUGGAAGGUUAAGAGGAGUGGUUAGCUUCUGCGAAGCUACGAAUCGAAGCCCCAGUAAACGGCGGCCGUAACUAUAACGGUCCUAAGGUAGCGAAAUUCCUUGUCGGGUAAGUUCCGACCCGCACGAAAGGCGUAACGAUUUGGGCACUGUCUCAACGAGAGACUCGGUGAAAUCAUAGUACCUGUGAAGAUGCAGGUUACCCGCGACAGGACGGAAAGACCCCGUGGAGCUUUACUGUAGCCUGAUAUUGAAAUUCGGCACAGCUUGUACAGGAUAGGUAGGAGCCUUUGAAACGUGAGCGCUAGCUUACGUGGAGGCGCUGGUGGGAUACUACCCUAGCUGUGUUGGCUUUCUAACCCGCACCACUUAUCGUGGUGGGAGACAGUGUCAGGCGGGCAGUUUGACUGGGGCGGUCGCCUCCUAAAAGGUAACGGAGGCGCUCAAAGGUUCCCUCAGAAUGGUUGGAAAUCAUUCAUAGAGUGUAAAGGCAUAAGGGAGCUUGACUGCGAGACCUACAAGUCGAGCAGGGUCGAAAGACGGACUUAGUGAUCCGGUGGUUCCGCAUGGAAGGGCCAUCGCUCAACGGAUAAAAGCUACCCCGGGGAUAACAGGCUUAUCUCCCCCAAGAGUUCACAUCGACGGGGAGGUUUGGCACCUCGAUGUCGGCUCAUCGCAUCCUGGGGCUGUAGUCGGUCCCAAGGGUUGGGCUGUUCGCCCAUUAAAGCGGUACGCGAGCUGGGUUCAGAACGUCGUGAGACAGUUCGGUCCCUAUCCGUCGUGGGCGUAGGAAAUUUGAGAGGAGCUGUCCUUAGUACGAGAGGACCGGGAUGGACAUACCUCUGGUGUACCAGUUGUCGU